AGUCGAGCGAUGAACACCUUCGGGUGUGAAUUAGCGGCGAACGGGUGAGGAACACGUGAGAAAUCUGCCUUCACACUGGGAUAACUCCGGGAAACCGGGGCUAAUACCGGAUAUGAAAUCUGCGGGCAUCCGCGGAUUUGGAAAGUUUUUCGGUUGAAGAUGAUCUCGCGGCCUAUCAGCUUGUUGGUGAGGUAAUGGCUCACCAAGGCGACGACGGGUAGCCGGCCUGAGAGGGCGACCGGCCACACUGGGACUGAGACACGGCCCAGACUCCUACGGGAGGCAGCAGUGGGGAAUAUUGGGCAAUGGAGGAAACUCUGACCCAGCGACGCCGCGUGCGGGAUGAAGGCCUUCGGGUUGUAAACCGCUUUCAGCAGGGAAGAAGCGAAAGUGACGGUACCUGCAGAAGAAGCACCGGCUAACUAUGUGCCAGCAGCCGCGGUAAUACAUAGGGUGCAAGCGUUGUCCGGAAUUAUUGGGCGUAAAGAGCUCGUAGGUGGUUCGUCACGUCGGAUGUGAAAAUCUGGGGCUUAACCCCAGACCUGCAUUCGAUACGGGCGAGCUUGAGUAUGGUAGGGGAGUCUGGAAUUCCUGGUGUAGCGGUGGAAUGCGCAGAUAUCAGGAGGAACACCAAUGGCGAAGGCAGGACUCUGGGCCAUUACUGACACUGAGGAGCGAAAGCGUGGGGAGCGAACAGGAUUAGAUACCCUGGUAGUCCACGCCGUAAACGGUGGGCACUAGUUGUGGGGACCUUCCACGGUCUCUGCGACGCAGCUAACGCAUUAAGUGCCCCGCCUGGGGAGUACGAUCGCAAGAUUAAAACUCAAAGGAAUUGACGGGGCCCCGCACAAGCAGCGGAGCAUGCGGCUUAA
Molecule: ribosomal RNA, 872 nt
Filed under: uncultured bacterium
Lineage: Bacteria
Description: bacterial SSU rRNA
Rfam family: Bacterial small subunit ribosomal RNA
Source: RNAcentral